GCGCCCGUAGCUCAGCUGGAUAGAGCGUCGCCCUCCGAAGGCGAAGGUCAGGGGUUCGAAUCCCUUCGGGCGCGCCA
RNAcentral lists this transfer RNA (77 nucleotides) under Rhodospirillaceae bacterium. Its description in RNAcentral is "tRNA-Arg". It matches the Rfam family "tRNA". From Rfam's summary of the family: Transfer RNA (tRNA) molecules are approximately 80 nucleotides in length. Their secondary structure includes four short double-helical elements and three loops (D, anti-codon, and T loops). Lineage: Bacteria; Pseudomonadati; Pseudomonadota; Alphaproteobacteria; Rhodospirillales; Rhodospirillaceae. The record is from RNAcentral. RNAcentral also lists the same sequence under 2 other names.